Dermacentor andersoni is the source of this 929-nucleotide long non-coding RNA. RefSeq lists it as uncharacterized. The record is from RefSeq and is a predicted model, not a curated record. NCBI's taxonomy places the organism in Eukaryota, Metazoa, Arthropoda, Arachnida, Ixodida, Ixodidae.
GUCGCCUUCUGCUUGGACUAUUGCGUGCACUAUUAUACCGCAUAGAUAAAUAAAAUGAAUAUUAGAGGCCUCGCUCAAUCUUAUCUUCAGGCAAGGCCGAGGCAAGACAGAAGCAAGCAGCGAUGCCGUAGGACGCGACAUCAGGAUGCCGAAGACUGGCGACACGACCGGGAGCAGAAAGGUGCAACCCGCCGAGGGCCAGUGCCAGGCUUCCAGCGCCCGUUGGCCGGUCGUUCUUCUCGUCGCCGGACGGCUACUUCCACCCGCUAGCCUAAGCGAACAGCGACGCCGCCCAAAGCCUACAGUCGGGUACCGAAGACUCCAUAGCCCAAUGGAGAUGACGAGCCUGCUGAGAAUAAGUGCCGGGCUUCCAGCGCCCGUUGGCCGGUCGUUAUUCUCGUCGCCGGACGGCUACUUCCACCCGCUAGCCUAAGCGAACAGCGACGCUGCCCAAAGCCUACAGUCGGGUACCGAAGACUCCAUGGCCCAAUGGAGAUGACGAGCCUGCUGAGAAUGGUCGUUGAGACGAUCGGGCAAUACCGGAGCGAGCAGCACAAAACUUCAACGCAGAAAAUCAGCGCAGAACGGCGCACCAGGCUGACGCCAAUGCCAGCAUGUGCACCAAGGCCGUCAUAAAAGCCGGGCAACACGGAAGCGAUCAGCAAAGUCUCUGGAAGCCGGAGAGAUGUGUCAUGGCAGGAAACGAGAACCAGCUUUUCAGUUCAGAGGCCGUUGAGACGAUCGGGCAAUACUGAAGCGAGCAGCGAGUACCUGUUCUACUCAGCACGGCGCCCAAGACUUACGCCAUUGUCAGGCAGAGUCGGGGAAAGACUGGCAAGACAGAAGCGAGCAGCGGUGCCGCGUCUUAAGUGACACUGGGUCACCGAAAACAAGCGACGCGACCGGGAGCAGGAGGAGGCGACUGCUGG